Long non-coding RNA from Macrobrachium nipponense, 949 nucleotides. RefSeq lists it as uncharacterized. The transcript has 5 exons. NCBI's taxonomy places the organism in Eukaryota, Metazoa, Arthropoda, Malacostraca, Decapoda, Palaemonidae. The record is from RefSeq and is a predicted model, not a curated record.
CAUUGAUGAGUGUGCACGGUGAUUUCGCUUUACGGAUUAGGCUAUUUAGUAUAAAAUAUAUCUAAGAUAACAUCUCAUGGAAACUGCAGCAGUUGAUGUCACGACGUCAGACGGUGCCUCUGUUCAACUGAAGAUCGCUUGUUUGGAGUUGAAUGUGGGUAGUAAUGACCCCCAAAUUGGCAGUUAUACUCUUGAAGCAUAUCGUUAAAAGAACACCAUGACUUACAACAACGCAUAGAUGGACUUGCCAUAGAUGGCGGUGACGGUAGCAACAACAGCGACGACAACGAUGCCGACCCUCAUGACCCAGAUCAGUUCCCUGUCGGUGGCCUGCAAUAAGAAGAGGUGAUGACCUUUCAGUCACAAUGUGGAGGCGCUAGAGCCCACAAGCCAACAUUAAAAAGGGGAAAUAAUCCAACCUUACCCAGAACGAGACUGAGGGAAUAGCCGAAAGGCGCCUGGCACCACACCAGCCCGUCAGCGAAGACAGCUUCCGCCGAACCGUUGAUGUAGCCUCCGCCCACCCACGUAGCUGAGGGAGAAAAUGAGGCAUGUGAUUGCAUUCUAUUUGGGAAAAUGAUUCGAUCGUUUACGUACAUUUGCCCAUUUGCGUCUGAUCACGAGCAGUAAUAGAAUGUGGAGGAAGUGUGAUUUUCCUGAAUAAUAAUCUGGUGUCUCUGAUAAUAAAAUUCGAGUGGAUCUUUUCUUGGUUGCCUCCUUCUGGUGAGGGUAGGGGAGACCUGACAGGGCUACCCACCCCCUGCGAAACGGUUUGUCCGCCCUGGGUUUGGGCGGGGUAGGUAGGGGAAUGGGAGAGUAGGGGAGACAUCCACUCUACUCUUACAAACCUGUUUGUCUACCCCUGGUGGGGGCAGAGUAAGUUGGUGAUCGGGAGGGUAGGGGAGACGUGAUGGGUAGCUCCGGAUUCCAGCGCAGCGUAGUGCUGCCA